GACACGAUGACGACAUUACAUGUAAUCGAAUUCUUGUACAAUUGUAUAUUUUUGUCUGCAACACUUCUCAUGGAAUUAACCCUCUUUCUUCAAUUUGAGUCUACAGUUAUCUAAAUUAAGAGAAAAUAUGGAGUGCAGUGGAGUCUUGGAGAUUCGGACAAAGCUGCAGAUUUUGGGAAGCCGACAUCCGCUUCUCGAACUCCAAUGCUUGCGAUGCUCAAAACAAGACAACAAAUCUUACCUGCUCAGCAAACGGCGUUGGUGGGGUGAUGCGGAGAGUUUCAAGAAGGUUUUCAUAUGUGGCUUUGCUCGGCUCAAACACGAACAUGCCUGCGUUGAAGUAGAGUGGAGGAGGAGAG
Molecule: non-coding RNA, 359 nt
Organism: Sesamum indicum (sesame)
Lineage: Eukaryota; Viridiplantae; Streptophyta; Magnoliopsida; Lamiales; Pedaliaceae
Source: RefSeq, a predicted model, not a curated record